Brienomyrus brachyistius is the source of this 424-nucleotide long non-coding RNA. RefSeq lists it as uncharacterized. Lineage: Eukaryota; Metazoa; Chordata; Actinopteri; Osteoglossiformes; Mormyridae. The transcript is spliced from 2 exons. The record is from RefSeq and is a predicted model, not a curated record.
GUAACGAACUCCUCCGCGUCGCGGUCACCUAAUCUCUCAGGUUUAAGGUUAUUUUACAGACAGAGUCUUGAUUCAUCGAAGAACUUACUAAUACGCUUAACUGCGUCUGGCACCACUUUCGGCGACGCUUCGUAAAUUAACUGGUCGCAUGGAAGUUCGCACUUUAAAAUAAAACGUAAAUAAAAGGAAUACCUACCAUCUUAAUGGCAACCUCCAAACCUGUGUUUACAGAUCUGGCUUUGUAAACACAAGCAAACGACCCCUUCCCCAGCAGGGACACUCUGCGACAACCCAGAGGGAAUAAAGAAAGAAUUAACAACGAGGAAGAUAAAGGUGAUAUUGUGAAGAGGAGACAGACGGCCCAUUGAUGGUGGAUCCAGGGGACGUUUCCAGGUGGAUGGCGUGUGUUUCGUUGGCCUCGGGG